AUUGCACCUUGCACCUGAUAGCAAGCAGUAGGCACCAGUACAACCAUGGAGGACAACAACAGGAACAACGCUGCGAACGAUUUUCCACCCCCCUAUGACCAGACGUACCCUCAGAAGCAGCUGGGCGCCAUUCCGCCGGGAGCACCCAUUCCACCAGGGGGCCCUGCGCCACCAGGUGCUUACAUGCAACCGGGUGCUUACGGCCAGCCCGAUCCGCUGCAGGGAUACGGUUACCCUGGCAACUAUGGCACCGGACAGACGGUCUACACGACGACGGGUUAUCCCGCACAGACAAUGCAACCGGCGCCUGGUGUUAUCAUCGUUCAGCAGGACAUACCCCCAACGUACAUGAUAAUGUCCAUCUUCUCCUGCCUAUUCUGCUGCUGGGUAACAGGCCUCGUCGCCAUCUUCUAUUCCUCAAAGGUUACCACCUACGCACUCCUAGGCAACUGGGAGCUAGCACAAGAAACGUCGAAUAACGCAAAAAUGUGGAAAUAUAGUCAGCAUCACUGCCCGGAACGAUCAUAUUCUCCACAACCCUGAUAACGAUUCUUGUCCUGCCUAACCAGGAGACAUGCUCACCAUGAUAGCCUUAUUGACCCCCAGCUGAACCAAUCAAAUCGAGGAAGGGAGAGAAUUCCAAUACGGACUGACAGAAACAAAAGAAGCUAAACUGAAAGCAGAUCCUUCACAGUGGUUAUCAAGAGUACAAAAUAGAGAUCUCUAUUAAUUCUAGAGGUCUAUAUCUAUCGAUUAUAGAGAUCUCUAUUAGAUCUAGAGGUCUAUAUCUAUCGAUUAUAGAGAUCUCUAUUAGAUCUAGAGGUCUGUAUCUUUCGAUUAUAGAGAUCCGUAUUACAGUCUCUCAGUCGUUAUCUAGCUGGCCUCGGUUUGAUUACGGACCACUUGUUGUUUAUUCACUCAGCCGGCAAUAGAGAUCCGGUUGAGAGAUAACGUAGAUAGAGUUGUGUCAGUUCCUUGUACGAGCUGAGCCCUUGCCCCACACUGAGAGAAACGACAAGCACCGAGAGGCAAGCUAAGCUACCGUCGACCAGGAUCUACGACUGUUUCACGUCGUAGGAACGUGAAGUUACCUUCUCGCCACGUAGUGAGAAGCGAGAAGGUAUAGCUUGCAAGCGGCUAAGCUACCGCAUACAAUGACUGAGGGAUGAUGAAGCAGACACAGAUAUUCUAGCAGUAACGCUGAGAGGGUCUAUGUCCCCCAGGGUACUGCCGGAAUGUACCCUAGGUAUGGUCCGGUAUACCGGAAC
RNAcentral lists this unclassified non-coding RNA (1268 nucleotides) under Priapulus caudatus. Its description in RNAcentral is "protein SPEC3-like, transcript variant X1". Lineage: Eukaryota; Metazoa; Priapulida; Priapulimorpha; Priapulimorphida; Priapulidae. The record is from RNAcentral.